AGUGAGUUAUUAGCCCAGUUAUAACUCAUUUCUAGUCAACAAUGGGGGAGGGGUUGCUUCCAACAAGAGCACAACAUGUGUGCAUUUCUAGCCAUCUUUGAAAACAGAUAGCAGUGGGCCAGUAACCCGGAAGAUUGCUGGAUCAAAUCCCCGAGCUGACAAGGUGUGCAGCUGUCUCUGGUCAUGAGAUCUCGAGCCGUCGCUGCUGUGGAGAUCCAGCCUACCUCAGCUCCUGUCCUGGGGGCCUCUCCUGUCGCUGAUGGGGCGGUGUCGCAGUCUUCAGUCCGGCCCAACCGAAUUAUCUGGGACCUUCGUCUGCUCGUCCUGUUGCGGCCUGGCCCCCACCUGUCCCUUUGCCUGGGCCCGGCAGUCACCGCCUGUUGUUGCUUCGUGGCUCCAGCCACCUAAGUAUCCAGCUGCCUAAGUAUCCAGCCGCCUAAGUAUCCAGCUGCAGAGUUAUUGUCGAGCUCUGCAGCUGCAGCCCUGCGAUCUCCAGUCCUAAGACUCUUGUCCAGCUUUGCCGCUGCGACCUCCAGUCCUGGUGUCCUCAGCUGACACCAUGCCGGGGGUCAAGAUGACUCCUGCUCCUCACCUGGGGACCUUAUAAGCCCUCACUGCCGAGAUCCUCCUGUUGCCUGUUUCUGGGCAGAGGGGGCAGACGCCACCAGAUCUACCGCCGCAUCCUGAUGGCUCCCCUCUUCCAGAACCGUCUCACAGCAUGCACUGAUCCCCACCAUGUCACACACCCUGGUCUGGGGACCUCAGGCACCUUUGGGACAGGGCGGCCAGGUACACCAAGAGAUAGGACAUCUGUUGGACCAGCUGCCCAUCUGAUCUACAUCCCUGCCUCGCUGGAUGACCACAAGUCUUCACGUCAUCUCUCUCAGUGACUGUCUACCCUUGCUGCCCAUUGUUGUUGAUUUAAAAUUUGUACAACACAUUUGGUGGCGGCUGUUAAAAGUGGCCAGCUUUCUAGCACUCCCUUCUGGUUAGUUUAGUCAGGCAGCUUAGUCUCCUUUUCUACAACUUAACCCUGUUUUUCACUAUUUGUAACAAUAUAUUUCCAUAUUGAAGACAUGCAAAUUACCUGUUCAACGUCUCUAAAGAAAAUAAUAAAACAAUGUAUUUAGCAA
This 1133-nucleotide long non-coding RNA is filed under the name Salmo salar (Atlantic salmon). Its description in RNAcentral is "lncRNA (ENSSSAG00000104193.1)". Lineage: Eukaryota; Metazoa; Chordata; Actinopteri; Salmoniformes; Salmonidae. The record is from RNAcentral.